AGUAUUUGAACUUGCGUACGUUCUGUGCUAAACUAGUAACGAAAUCGCUCGAAUUGUCACUUAACGUAUUUUAUUGUCAUAAAAACGCAGUCUAAAUAACUAGACACAUAAAUAUGUUAAUCGAUCAUUUAUUUCCAAACACUUAAAAAACAAAAAGUUGAGUAAAAACAACUCAACAUGUGGUAUUUGAGCUGCGUACUACCCGUUGAGUAGUUUUAACUCAAUUUUGGAUGAAAAAAUGUGACAGCCAUAUUGAAACGUCAUUCCAGACUAGUCGUCGUCGGUGUAAGACGUAAUCGUCAAGAUUAGUUAUUGUGUUUAUAUUUUUCUGAAAAUCAAUUAUUUGUUGAUGAAGUUUUAUUUAGUAAACUUUUGUUAAAGCUUCGCUACCAUUUGUUAAACUGGCCAGCUAAUAUUCCGGAAUCCGGAUUUACUGAAGGAAUUCAGAAUCUGAUAUCGUUAAAUUAGUUUUGGUAUACGAUUACCGAAGUCGAAAAGUGUCUGAUUCCGAUAAACUUAGUGCCCUGCUCUCAAUGACUACCACUCUAUUCAAACUGCUGGCGUUCCCGCCAGCAACCGUUCACGUUUCCCGGAACUGUUACCGACGAACAAUUUCUGAAAGUGAGAAGCUGAUGGUAGCUGUACCCAAUAUGUGUCAUUUGUUGCCUGCCCACUGCUCGCUGUUCCUGCCAUUCCAGUUAUCCUGUGCCACCAUCAAGGUAGUUGCUGCAAGUAUUCUCACCCGGUCCGAAUUGUUCCUGCCACCCACGCCGUUGGUUGAAAUAAACGAAAUGAUUGUAUCAUUGAA
This is a long non-coding RNA of Aedes aegypti (yellow fever mosquito), 808 nucleotides long. RefSeq lists it as uncharacterized. Lineage: Eukaryota; Metazoa; Arthropoda; Insecta; Diptera; Culicidae. The transcript has 2 exons. The record is from RefSeq and is a predicted model, not a curated record.